ACAGAUAGAUUAUGGGUUAAUUUACCAAU
Molecule: non-coding RNA, 29 nt
Filed under: Mus musculus (house mouse)
Lineage: Eukaryota; Metazoa; Chordata; Mammalia; Rodentia; Muridae
Source: RNAcentral